AGGAAGGUGGGGAUGACGUCAAGUCCUCAUGGCCCUUAUAGGUGGGCUACACACGUCAUACAAUGGCCGGUACAGAGGGUAGCCAACCCGCGAGGGGGAGCCAAUCCCACAAAGCCGGUCGUAGUCCGGAUCGCAGUCUGCAACUCGACUCGCGUGAAGUCGGAAUCGCUAGUAAUCGCGGAUCAGCAUGUCCGCGGUCGAAUACGUUCCCGGGCCUU
Molecule: ribosomal RNA, 218 nt
Filed under: uncultured Allobrachymonas sp.
Lineage: Bacteria; Pseudomonadati; Pseudomonadota; Betaproteobacteria; Burkholderiales; Comamonadaceae
Description: uncultured Brachymonas sp. partial 16S ribosomal RNA
Rfam family: Bacterial small subunit ribosomal RNA
Source: RNAcentral